AUAUUAUUUUUUAUUAACUUAAGUUUUAAAAAAAUAAUAAUUAUCUUAUAUAAAUUAAGAUAAGGUAGCAUAGCAUUAUUACCCAAAAAGAGAGAGAGAGAGAAAAGGAGCUAAUCCUUUAUUUUAUUGGGAAAACUUCAAAAAAUCCUCAUGUGAUUUCGUAGUUUCUCACUUUACCCCCUAUGGUUUAAAAUGUAUCAAAUUGCCCCCCUGUGGUUUUAUUUUUAUCUUUUGGGUAGCUUUUUCGUUAAUAUUUUAUUAAAUUAUAUACAAAAAACUUCAGAUACCCAUCUAGAUUUAUCAAAUAUUCACUUUAGUAUCCUUUAAUUUUAACUUUAUUACUGAUUUAAGAAAAAAAAAUAAUGAAAUUGAUAAGAAAAAGAAAAAAACGAAACCACAGAGGGGCAAAUUGAUAUAUUUUAAACCACAGGGGGACAAAAUGAAAAACUACGAAACCACAUGGGGGUUUUCGAAGUUUUCCCUUUUUUUAAAAAAUUGGUUAUUUUGGAAUAAU
RNAcentral lists this long non-coding RNA (514 nucleotides) under Ananas comosus (pineapple). RNAcentral describes it as "long non-coding RNA (ACOM_LNC027626)". The record is from RNAcentral. Lineage: Eukaryota; Viridiplantae; Streptophyta; Magnoliopsida; Poales; Bromeliaceae.